AGCUGUUAUACAAUAUGAAGGCUGUGAAGAUUCAGUGCAUGUGAUCCAGUGUGCGCAAAGCUGAUCUCAGUCAAACAAUAAAACUUGAAAUUGAUACAAAGUGGUAUAAUUGGACAAGUAUAGAAUGUUUCCCAGUAUCCACAUCGAAAACAAAUCCAAAUGUACUUUCAAUUCAAAGCAAAGGUUUACUACGAAUCUGGAGCUAGCCUUAGCACGCAAUCAAGUCAAUGGAUUGCAGCAACCAAGAAGCCUUCCUGAAACAAAAGCCUGGUUAAAGCAACCUCCUGACUUUAGCUACAGGCUAUACAUAUCCCCAGGCCUUUCCACUAAGCUAUUGAAAAAGCCAAAGGUGGCGAAGAAGAUAAAGCCAUCAACAAGCACUUUUUAUGAGGAAUUGCACAAGAUAAAGUCCAGCUUGUCCAUCCCAUCCAUGGAACACCAGGAGCAACUUAAGAUCAUUACAAGGUUUCCUCGUGUGAGCUCUUACGAAGCCCAGUUACUGUUUGUAAAGUUGGGGAAGUUUAAGUGCAGCAAAUACGAAGAUCCAAAGCCACAUGAUUUUAGACAGUAUGAAUCAGAAAUACCGGAUUUUGUGACAAGCUAUACCAGGGAUCCUUUGAAUCUCAAGUUCAAAUCACAGUGUUUAAGCAAAAUCCAUGGACUUUAUCCUUUAAAGGAAGAAAAAAGGGGAUCUGGAUCAAAGGAAAGAUUUAUCACCUACAAGCCUAAAGAACUCAAGUGGGACUCAAAAUUACUUUUGCCAAAGGAACCUUGGCCUACAAAAUCUGGUUCCUUUACGAGGCACAGAAGCCAACGAGGUGCACACAGUGCCUUUAUAGAGCGAGUGGAAGAAACAUUAAGCAAGCUGUGGCUCAAAGAGGCACGUCAGAAGCAGGCACCAAGCCGAAAAAAAGCAGCACCUGGUACAAGAGGAAAAGUAUCCACUGCAACGGUUUCUUCUGAGAGUGACUCUGAUACUGAGCAGCAAGUUAGAAGGCAGCAAGAAACAAAUAAGCAAAAAGAGCAGCUCUCUCGCCCACAUCUACAGCAACAUACUGUUAAGGAAUGACGGAACAGAACCAGCCUCUCAGUGCAUAUAAAACCAGAAUCUUUGGGAAUCUUGUUGCCAGUUGCACAGCUCAGAGUGUUGGAGAGCUGAGUGCAAAUAAUGGAAAAUAAUGGAACAUGCUUGACAACUAUUGUUAUCAUUGCUUUUUUUGGCAUUCAUUCAAAACUAUUGUUAUCACUGUUCUUUUUUGGCAUUCAUUCAAUGCCAGCAUCACUACUGGAGGAUGAAUCUCUAUUCCAACUCAGUGAACAUUAAUAAUUGCAAAAAACAGAUUUAAACACAAGUAUAAUAAAGGAUUAUCCACUGGUAUCCA
Molecule: long non-coding RNA, 1382 nt
Filed under: Salvator merianae (Argentine black and white tegu)
Lineage: Eukaryota; Metazoa; Chordata; Lepidosauria; Squamata; Teiidae
Description: lncRNA (ENSSMRG00000008230.1)
Source: RNAcentral